CCUUCAUGAAGCCGGAAUUGCUAGUAAUGGCAGGUCAGCAUACUGCCGUGAAUACGUUCCCGGGGCCCUUGUACACACCGCCCGUCACACCAUGAGAGUUGGGAAUACCCGAAGCCUGUGAGCUAACUUUUAGAGGCAGCAGUCGAAGGUAGAAUCAAUGAUUGGGUGAAGUCGUAACAAGGUACC
This 186-nucleotide ribosomal RNA is filed under the name uncultured bacterium. Its description in RNAcentral is "partial 16S ribosomal RNA". It matches the Rfam family "Bacterial small subunit ribosomal RNA", at positions 1315 to 1500 of the family's 1533-position model. The record is from RNAcentral.